GACGAACGCUGGCGGCGUGCUUAACACAUGCAAGUCGAACGGAAAGGCCCUGCUUUUGUGGGGUGCUCGAGUGGCGAACGGGUGAGUAACACGUGAGUAACCUGCCCUUGACUUUGGGAUAACUUCAGGAAACUGGGGCUAAUACCGGAUAGGAGCUCCUGCUGCAUGGUGGGGGUUGGAAAGUUUCGGCGGUUGGGGAUGGACUCGCGGCUUAUCAGCUUGUUGGUGGGGUAGUGGCUUACCAAGGCUUUGACGGGUAGCCGGCCUGAGAGGGUGACCGGCCACAUUGGGAAUGAGAUACGGCCCAAACUCCUAAGGGGGGCAGGAGUGGGGAAUAUUGCACAAUGGGCGGAAGCCUGAUGCAGCAACGCCGCGUGCGGGAUGACGGCCUUCGGGUUGUAAACCGCUUUCGCCUGUGACGAAGCGUGAGUGACGGUAAUGGGUAAAGAAGCACCGGCUAACUACGUG
Molecule: ribosomal RNA, 468 nt
Filed under: uncultured bacterium
Lineage: Bacteria
Description: partial 16S ribosomal RNA
Rfam family: Bacterial small subunit ribosomal RNA
Source: RNAcentral